AAUCACCCAGUCCUCAGUUGUACCAUUCAGUAAGCAUCAGCACGCCAUGAAGUGUGCUCCCUGCUGUGUUGCGGGGACAAAACAUCUGUCCCAGGGCUCUGUGGCCGCCCGUUCUGUCCUGUCCAAUGAAGCUCUGUUCUGUUCCAUUGGUCUAUGUCUCUGAUUCGGUACCAGUACCAUGCUGUUCUGAUUACUGUAGCAAUUGACUACGUUUCUGAUCAGGUUUUCAGUAUUCAUUGAGAGAAACAGAACGUUGUGCAAACAAUCCGCAGCACGACGUGCCACUCAUAAAGCUCUGUUUCUGCGUUGCAGGUAGUGCCGGUGUUCCCUCUGAAGUGCGACUCUGGAGUAUUGGGUCUAAAGCCUUUCUCUGAUAGCUCUGCGGGAAGAUUGCCCACCUCACCCUUGCUUUCUGCGGGUUCCAGAAGCUUCCAUUUAAAGGAGCAUCCCUCCCCACUCUGCCUCCCCCAACACCAGCUCUCCUGCACCCACUGGCUUUCUCAACGCUUUCUUCCACCUUCACCUCAUUGAAUUCAAGACUCUGGAAAAUAGUCAAAAAUGAUAAAAAGGUGAGGUGCCUCCUCCUCUGUACAGUGAGUGAGGAGGGCAAAGACAGGAGCCCCGGGUAUGGUUCAGAUGCGACUCUGCUUCCUGACACUCUGCUGUGGAGCCUGAGCUUUCCGAAGCCACCUUACAUCUCCCAAAACCUUCAUGGGAGCAGAGCCACUGCAUUGAAAUAAGAGCUGCGACCCGCCUGUUCCUGGGCCCCUCUGCCCUGAGUUCUCACAGCUGACCCGGUGGGGUGAAGAUGUGUCCUAGCAGGUCAGUGUUGCCACCCAAACCUACCCAGUGGGCACCCUGAUGACCAAACUCCCCUGGAGGCUCUUGAGUCAUUUUCCAGCUGGGAGAGGCCAUCUCAGAGUGUCCCUCACUGUUCCACACUGCCCUCAGACCCCAAAGCCUUCCUGCCUCUGACACACUGGGGCAUCUCAGGUAGGGAGCCUUGGCUGUCCUGAUCCUCCUUUCUGAAGCUGCUCACGAUGUCAGAGAGGGGCCAGGGCAGCCGGGAAUCCUAAAUAAAGGGGGCAUGGGUUGAAGGGAGGUCACUUGUUCCUGCCAGCUGUGCCAGCAGAGCAUGUGUGGCACUUUCUGUCAGUGUUUCCUGAGACCCAGAAGCACAGAGUCUACUCACACUAUUAACACUCAUCAUCAGCCACCUAAAGGCUUCUCUUUCAUAUUUUUCUUUUUCACCAUUUCAAAUCAUGUUUUCUCCUAUCUCUGAGUCACCAACUCAACUGUAAAUCAUGUGGUUCCACUCUGACUUCCAAAUCAUCUCUACAGAUUCUUAGAGAAUUCAUAGUGUGUUUCCAUUUCUUAAGCAGAUAAUUUUUCCUCUUUAGGCCUCAUCUGGUUUAUUUUUUCUAAGAUUUAAACUCAGACUUAAACAUUUAAUUUCAUCCACGUGUGCAUAGGAACCACUUCCAUUACUUCCAGCGGAUCAGCAUUGUGUAAACUACACUUUAGUUUAAACCCUGUGCUGAGCGGCCAGGUUGCUGCCGACACCACGUGACCAGUGAGGACUUUCCCCUGCGCAUUUCCCUCCGUCUCGGAACCACAGUGGACUAGCUGCAUGGCGGGUGCACACUUAGUGUUACUAUGUGUUGAGGGACGUCCUGCCGGAUCGCUGACCUCGUUAAUAUCCCAGGUGUGAGUAAGAGCUUCUGAAGCUCCACAGCCUGGCUGGAAAUUUAUUUUUAAAAAAUAUUUAUUUAUUUAUUUUGAGACGGAGUUUUGCUCUUGUUACCCAGGUUGGAGUGCAAUGGCACAAUCUCGGCUCACCGUAACCUGCGCCUCCUGGGUUCAGGCAAUUCUCCUGCCUCAGCCUCCUGAGUAGCUGGGAUUACAGGCACAAGC
This is a long non-coding RNA of Saimiri boliviensis boliviensis (Bolivian squirrel monkey), 1914 nucleotides long. The record is from Ensembl. Lineage: Eukaryota; Metazoa; Chordata; Mammalia; Primates; Cebidae.